AGCACCAGCUCAGACUCAGAGCGUGAGGAUGAUGGCGGAAGAAGAGCAUCCUAUUUGAGUCCGCAAUUUUUUUUCUCUCUCUUUUCCCUUUUCUUUUUACGGAAUACUACGCAGAACCGUAAAAAGCUUGAGAUAUUCGGUCGUUUUAAAUAAUAAAAUAAAAAGGCGAUGGGGAACGAAGCCAGCCUCGAAGGAGGGGAAGGAAGCUCUGUGCUCGGUGUAGCUGGAGCUCUAGGACCCGUUUCAGCAUCACCGAGCCCUGGACAUCAUAUCAAGCCCGUGAAUGGCGCUGCUGCCGGUGGUGGAGCUGUUAUGGGAAGUGGGGCGGUGAUGAACAGGCUGGCUGGAGCUCCACCAUCUCCAAAAACAGGCAGUGGCUCUAGUGGUGUCACAGGGGUGGGUGGUGGCUUGGGUAUGGGAGGCAUGGGAGGAAUCCCAGGACGAGGAGACACCUACAGACUGGCCACCCAUGAGAGCCCAAGACCAUCUCCAACCCCUCAUUCUCAGAAUCAGGCAACAUCGCAGGGCAUGGGUACAGACCAAGGUCCUGGUCAGCAUGCCUCCAGACGGAACCUUCAGGUAGACUUCAAUAGUGGGGCAAGUGUAGGCCGAACAGGUCGAUCGCCUUCAGUGUCUCCUGACCGAGGCAGUGCUCCCACCUCACCCUACUCAGUGCCACAGAUAGCACCCAUGCCCAGCAGUAAACUGUGCCCAAUCUGCAACACAACAGAGCUGACCAGUGCUGACAGAGUACCCAAUUUCAACAAGUGCACCCAGUGUCGCACCAUUGUGUGCAACCAGUGCGGCUUCAACCCCAAUCCACAUCUUACAGAGGUCCAGGAGUGGCUAUGUCUGAACUGUCAGAUGCAGAGAGCCCUAGGAAUGGAUAUGACCACACCUCGCUCUAAGAGUCAGCAGCAGAUUCAUUGUUCCUCAGAGCAACCUAAAGCAGACACUGUAAUACCUACUCAUUCCCAGCCUUCAGCUCAGCUCAAACUAUCUCAGUCUCAGAAUCAACCACAGACCCAACCUCAUUCCAAAAUCCAACCACAGGCUCAAAGCCAGACCUCACUGGGCCCUAAGAAAGAAAGUGAGUCUCCUGGUACAUACCAGAAAGGACCUCAAAAAAUAGGCCUUUCAGCUCAAACUGGACCUUCUCAAAUUGUGCAUCAAGGAGCACAAUUGGAGUCCCAUGGUCAGAGUGUGGAAUUUAGGCAGAAAGGCCCAGGUGGAGCACCUCAAACUAGCUCCCGGAUCCCUCACCCUGGUGCUGUGCCAUUACCAGGUUUGGCAAAAGCACCAUCACAGCCAGACCUUGGCCGUGGAUCUCCAGUUCACUAUGUUGGACGAUCAGAGCAAAUUCGCAGUGCUGGAAGUUCCCCAGCUCGCCGCCCAGCCUCAGUGCAUGAGACCCCUCCUCAGGAUGGUUUGACAAAGUUAUUUGGGUUUGGGGCAUCAUUACUGAACCAGGCAAGCACACUAAUCUCAGUUGAUCCACUACCUGGAGGAGGAGCCUCAGCACAAUCCUCACCUGCUCGACAACAGGGCACCCAGGGUACUAAGGUGAUUUUUAGUGAUGCUAAUUCUAAAGCUAUGGCUGGAGCUCCUGGAUCAGACAAGCGUGGAACAGCAGGAACCUUGUUUUCCCAGGGUUCAAAUACUCCCCCACAAAAACAGCCUCAACAACAACAACAGCCUAUUGCAUCACAUCAACAAAAGGCAUCCCAGUUGCCAACUAACCAUCAAAAGACAGGGCAGCAGCAGUCACCGGCACAUCAUCAAGCGGUACUGCCACAGCAGCAGUCACCGGCACAUCAUCAGAAGGUGCCACAGCAGCAGCCAAAGGCACAUCAUCAAAAAGCUCCACAGCAGCAUCAGUCACCACUGAAGCAGAAACCCAAAGUCACCUGCCCCUUGUGUAAGACUGAACUUAAUAUAGGAACCAGUGAGCCACCCAACUACAACUUCUGCACCCAAUGUCAGACGCAGGUCUGCAAUAUGUGUGGCUUCAAUCCAACACCUCACCUUAUAGAGAAAAAAGAAUGGCUCUGUCUUAACUGUCAGACCCAAAGACUAAUGUCUGGUGGGCUGGAUGACUCUUCUCUUCAUGCUCCCUAUCCAUCUCCAAAACACCAAGUGGGCUCACCCCGGCAUCAAGUUCAUCAACAACCUACUCCACAGCCAACAGCUCAAAAAGUAUUCACUAAUCAAGAGGAAGGUCCCAGCACAAUGCUGCAACAGCAGAAAACUCAGGCAACUGAAGGAGCUGCUCAUGUUGCUGCAACUAGUGUCAAACUGGCAGGAGAUACGAAACCUCUCCUACAGCCCUCUUCGGCCCUUUCUACCACAACUAAAUCUGUCAGUGAAACACAGAAGAAAGAAAAGACUCUGCCAAAAUUGAUCAGUGAGCCUGAGCAGAAUUCUGCUGCCAAUGAAGACACAAAAUCUAAGAAAGGAACAGAACCCAGCGUGACCACCACAACUAAGGAUGAGAAAAGAGACUCUCAGCGAUCCAGAUACUAUGAGGAAACAAGCAAAACAAACAGCACCCAUGACCUAUCACGGAGUCCGCAAAGUCUGAGUGACACUGGCUACUCCUCAGAUGGGAUAUCAAGCUCACACAGUGAAAUUACUGGCCUUAUUCAUGAGGAAGAAAUUAAGUUAAGUGAGAAGAGUAUGUCUGGAAACCUUACACCUCCAAGCCCUUCUGAAAUAAAUAAACUGGAGAGCUCCAUGCGACCUCUAUUAGAGUCAAAGGUUUUCUCUGAAGGAGAGAAAAGUUGGGACAAACAACGAGGUAGAGAUCGGCACCUCAGAGACUCUGAUGACAGAAAGCACAGGUCUCAAUCACUAUCAAUUAGUCCAGAGCAAUAUGACUCAGAUGAAGAUCUAGAAGAUAUCAUGGAAGAGGAAGAGGACCCAACGGACUGGGAGGCCAAACGAGAGCUCAGAACAGUAACUUCUACUGAAGAGUCCAAAAAAAAGAAAAAGGCUGAAUCUGCUGACAUAACUGAUGAAGAGUUUAUGCGAAGGCAGAUCAUGGAGAUGAGCGCAGAUGAAGAAAAUGAAGAUGAAGAGGAUGAAGAAGAAUUAGAAGAGGAGGAAGAUGAAGAAGAGGAAGAUGAUGAAGGCUAUGGUUACCAAAAGCCAAAAAAAAUACAUAAGCACAUUAGUGACUCAGGGAAAGAAAAACGCCGUUUCACUCAUCAUUCAAGCAGCUUUGAAGAGGAGAGCAAAACUAACAGUGAAAUCUACAAAGGAUCAGCUGAGGAAGACCUAAUUGGCUCACAAGGAGGUCUACGGAGAUUCAAAACCAUAGAGCUUAACAACACCAAUAGUUACAGCCGAGAUAUGGAAUUAAACAGUGAAAAUGAUUUGAAUCUGGACAGAGAGCCUGAACUUGAAAUGGAAAGCCUUACAGGUUCCCCAGAGGAACGAUCAAGAGGGGAGUAUUCCUCUACUCUUCCUCCUACAACUUCCAGCUACAACUCAGGAACAUCUCCUACUUCUAUAUCCUCCAUGGAGGAUGACAGUGAUAGCAGUCCCAGCAGGAGACAACGUCUAGAAGAGGCUAAGCAACAGAGGAAAGCCAGACACAGGUCUCAUGGCCCCUUAUUGCCAACCAUAGAAGACUCCUCAGAAGAAGAUGAAUUGAGAGAAGAAGAGGAACUUCUGAGGGAGCAAGAAAAAAUGCGAGAAGUGGAGCAGCAAAGAAUCCGAAGUACUGCCAGAAAAACUAAGCGAGAUAAAGAGGAGCUGAGGGCACAAAGACGAAGAGAGCGGUCCAAAACUCCUCCUAGCAACCUGUCUCCCAUUGAAGAUGCAUCUCCAACAGAGGAGCUAAGACAAGCUGCUGAAAUGGAAGAACUUCAUCGAUCUUCCUGCUCAGAAUACUCACCUUCUAUUGAUUCAGAGGCUGAAGGGUUUGAAAUGUCAUCUAAGCUCUACAAGUCUGGUAGUGAGUACAAUCUGCCUACAUUCAUGUUACUGUAUUCUCCUACUGAAAAGCCAGAAACUACAUCCUGUUCUACUACUACAACUACCUCCUCAACUGGAAAGCCUCUAAAAAGUGCAGAGGAAGUUUAUGAAGAAAUGAUGAAAAAAGCUGAGAUGUUACAGAAACAACAAAAGCAGCAACAGCAGUCAGCACAACUUUAUAGCACCAGUGCCUAUCAAGAAGAUGAUAGAAGAAAUGGACAACAUUAUGAAGAUGACUAUGAUUAUAUUGACCAAGAGGAUGCAAGCUACGAGAAUGAGGAGGAAAGUGAUAUCUAUGAGGAAAUACGUCAGACUUCACAAAACAUUACCAAGCAGUUGGAUGAUCAAGUGGAAAUGGAUGUGUCUUAUUCAGAUAAACAGCUGCUAGACACAGGAUCAGCUUUUGCUAAACUCCUGGAACAGAGUAGUGCCCUCCUCACCCCUGGCACUAGUCCUACACAACUCUCAGCCCCAGUAUCAUUUUCUGAAACUGGAACAGGAGGACGAAUACCUGAUGUCAGAGUAACUCAACACUUCUCUAAGGAUGGACAUAAAGAUAGAAUUAGAAGUCAUGCUAGCAAAAGUGCAAUCAUACCUUCAACUGCUGCCACUACUAUUACUGCAUAUGGCGUAUACACCAGGGAUGCUGUCCAUGUCUCACAAACCACUACUAGUCAAACAAUGACUUCACAGCAGUCCACCCUGUAUGGCCAACAUACAAGCAGCUCUGUCACAACCUCCACCAGUACAAGUGUGCCCAACAAAAUAGCUGAAAUCGCACAGGCUUAUAAUCAACGGGAGGGAAGGAGAGCCUCAGACAGAAUCCAAAUAAGGGAUAGUGAAACACAACUUGAAUCAGCAAAUGAAUUGCGUUCUCAUAAUGUCCAUGCAUACUACAUAGGUAGUCCACCACGUUCUCCAACUUCACCUUCAACUCAUAUACAAGCCAGAUCUCCUUCCAGGAAAACAGCUGAAUUUUCAACCCAGACUUUCAGUCCCCCGGGGGUACCACCUGAAUGUUCUGGCCCCACAUCUCCUAUUGUGGCACAGGCCACUCAGACACCUCAUAGAGCUAUCUCACCACGGCUUUUUAGACAACAGUCCUCUCAAGAUGACACUUUUAUGUUUAUAACAAUUGGAUCAGAGCCAACAAGUCCACCAAAGCCAGUUACAGUUAACACUGCCACCUCUCCUUUAUCUUCCCCAACAAAGUUUAGCCACCCUUUAUCAUUUGAUGCUUACUCACCACCUGUUAGCCCUCCUGACACACCACCACACCAGCAGUCACCUCUGCAUAAUUUUUACAGAACCCAUAAAGUUGAGAGAGUCAAUGUUGGUACAAGCAUGGUGACUGCUGCUAGCUCUUAUGCUCGUGGGUCACUUUCAAUGGAAAAUAUAUCCCUAUGCCGUAUUUCGACAGUACCUGGCACUUCAAGAGUUGAGCCAGGACAAAAGACACACAGUGCAAGUGUGGCAGACCUAAGAACAGCUACAAAGUUAUCUCCACUUAUUAUAACAGAUCAGGGAAUGGACUCAACAUCUUUCAUUCCAGAAUCUCGAAAAUAUGCAAAUAGUGCAGAAGGGAGCCCUGUUCGCCAUUCCACAACUGUCCAGCCUCUCAUAAUGAACUUGAAUGCUCAAGAACAGCAACAUGCCAUUGUUUCAACUGCAACAACAGUCAGUGUAACUGUUGCUGCCUCAAUGUUUAUAUCACAGCCCAAGCAUCCUGUAGUUUAUGCUGAUUCCCUUCAGAACAGAACAGACAUUGGCCAGGGUGUGGGAACAGUGGUAUGCCUUGUACAGAACAAACAACCAAUCGACCCAUCUAUACCAAAUAUUGAUGCCAAGCUUGAAGAUUUAAGUAUUCAACAACAACAGUUACUUAGGCAACAGCAGAAACUUCAACAUCAACAGCAACUUUUAGAGCAGCAACUUCAACAACACCAUCAACUUCAACAGCAAGCUUCUUCUUUUGCAAAGUUCAGUCUAUCUAGUCAAGUUCCAUUAUUAAAGAAGGAUCUAAUUGUCACCCAUACGAGCACUGCCCCUGUGGUCAGUGCAAUAUCUCCAGCUCUGGCACCUGAGUCUUAUAACAUUGGCAGUUCUAUGGAGUUGAAAAAUAGAUCACCAGUUGAACCACAAGGUAUGAUGGUCCAGAUGGACAGUGCUGCACAAGGAAAACGUCUGACACAGUUAAUUAAAUCGGAGGACAGCCAGGGUGCAAGGGAUCUAACUGGGCAAAUCAAGAAAGAGAGUCAAGUUGCUUGCUGUGAUGUAGUUUAUAAUUUGCCUUUUGGUGGAAGCUGUGUGGGUGGACCAUUCUCCCCAAAAACGAUGGGAGAUGAGAUGGCAAAUGUUAAUGAACCAUCAAGGCCUCCUUCUGCACCACCACAUCUCUAUGAAACAGAGUCGAAACAAGAUAAACAAAUAUAUCAUGAUUUCACUUUGAAAUCAUACACACUUCCUUUUCCUGGCCGGUUACAACCAUCCUUGUCUGAGACCAAUCUUGCAGAAGCAGGGCUCCAGUCUUACUCUUCUAAAUCUAAUAUGCAAGCCUCUGUAGAAUUAUCAAUGGAUUUGAACUCAGUUAAGCAAGGGUAUGAAGGAGCAUUUCUUGGAAUGGGACUUCAAUACGGCUCUUUCACAGAUCUUCAUCAAGGUGAUGUGGUAGCUCCAACUAUCCCCAUGCGCAGAUACAGUUCCCUUUCUAACAUUAGUUCAGAUUAUGGGUACUCAUCCUGUGACCUUUCUAGUUUACCGGAAUCUAGCCUUGCCCAAUAUAGUGCCACAACUGCUAAAGAGAUUAGUAGAAUGUGUGCAGCCCUCAAUUCAAUUGAUAGAUAUGGCAGCCACCCUGAUCUCUUGCAGAUAGGUCGAGGAGGUGGUCCACCAGGCAGAAUUAAUCUGCAGCAAAGUAUAAGACCCAGCUUUAUAUAUGGUCCAGAAGGAAAGCCCUUUUCCCAAGCUCUCACCAGUCUCAUUAAUGCAAGACAAGCAAGCCUUAGAGCCAUGUAUCCUUCAGCAAUUAGAUCAGCAGAUGGUAUGAUCUAUUCAACUAUCACCACACCCAUUGCCUCCACUGUGCCAAUAACAACUCAGCCAGCGUCUGUACUGCACCCCUUGUUAAGAGGUGUUUACAGACCAUACCUUACACCAAAUAUGACGCCAGUGCAUCUGGCCAGCCUCAAUAGAAUGCCUGUACCCUCUAGAAUGUCUCUGACAGGACAAACACCUUAUCGUUUUCCAACACCUACCCCAACUUCUGCUGAAAAUGACCCAGUCCCAAUUACCACAGAGCAGGAUGCACCGAUAUAUCUUGGAAAAUCUUCAGUAAGCUCUACGGGUACUGGGAAAUCUGUAGAACCAACCCUGCAUUCUGCUGUACAAAGUAGCCUAACCACAACAAAGCCAACUCACAUAGUUGCUCCAGUCAACACAAGUCAAUCUCAGGAGCAGCCAUUAAACCUUUCUCAGCCCCAUCUUCAUAUACAUGGUUCUUCCCACAGUCAGCUUCCACAACUAUGUGUGUCAUCACAGCCACCACCUCCUCCACAAUCAACUGUAGCUUCUGCUUCAACUUUAGGAGGUCUUUCACAGGAAAAAGAGAUAGAAGAAGAGCACCUCCAUCGGCAACAGGAAACAUUAUUGCAAUUAGAGAGAGAGAGAAUAGAAUUAGAAAAAUUGAGGCAGUUGCGUCUACAGGAGGAGCUUGAGAGGGAACGUGUAGAAUUGCAGCGGAAUCGGGAGAAAGAGCAUAUGAUUGUGCAACGGGAGAUUCAAGAGUUGCAAACUAUUAAACAGCAGGUUUUACAGCAGCAACAGGCUGAGAGAGAAAGUCAACUGGUUAUGCAAAGAGAGCAACUAGCUCAGCAAAAGCAGCAGCUUGACCAAAUACAGUCUCUGCAACAACAGCUUCAGCAGCAUCUUGUAGAACAAAAGAGACAAAAGACUGCAUCUGUAACUACAGGAACUAGCACCCAACGUAUUUGUGACCAAAGUGGCAAAAUUAUUCAGCCACAAGAUUUGCUCCCAGAUUUACAACAUGGCGAUAUUUAUGUGCAAUCUAGGUCACUGCCCAACUCUGCAUCGGAGAUGUGUCUUAGGCAUAAUGAAGGGCAAGCGGAUAAUAGGUCUAUGCGAAAACAAAGAUCAAUGCCCCGUCUACAGGAUGGUAUUGAGGGAGAGGUAACAAUGUUUUCCCUGCCCUCAAAAAUUGUAGACAGCAGUGUACAAACAGAUGAUGAGGAUGAAGAGGAAAGAUAUCUAAUGUCUAGAAGAAGAAGGACUAGGCGUAGUGUGGAUUGCAGUGUUCAGACAGAUGAUGAUGAGGAUAAAGCGGAAUGGGAACAACCUGUCCGAAGAAGGCGUUCUCGGUACUCCAGGCACUCUGAAUCAGGUGCUGAUACUAAAACUGAAACUUCAACUCUACCUGCCAAAGUUGCAUCAUCUAGUAUUGCUAUCCAGACUAUUCAGGAUUGCUCUUGCCAAACAGAGACAGAACAGCUAGGAAUAAUAUCCCCAGCAAUCCAUGUCACUGUUUCAGAUCCCAACAAAGUUGAAAUUGUCCAUUACAUAUCUGGUCCAGAGAGAACCCAGAAGGGGCAAAGUUUAGCUUGUCAGACUGACCCUGAGUCCCACUCUCAAGGUGUGGUGGUUCCACAAAUUAAUGUGGCCACCACCAUUAGUCCAUAUUCCAGCAGUGCACAACUUGUCGGGUCAGCAGAUCCACUAUCUUCUCGUCAACAGGCUGUUUCAAAGUUUGAGAGACGUAAACCAGAUCCUUUAGACAUUGGCUACCAGCAGCAUCAUCUGCACAAUGAGUCCUUGUCUAGUGUGAUUCGGCAACCACCCAAAUCCCCUCAGGUGUUGUAUUCUCCUGUAUCUCCUUCAUCACCACAUCGCAUCAUAGAAACAUCCUUCUCAUCAAGUGAGAGGCUGAAUAAAGCCCAUGUUACUCCACAGCAGAAGUCAUAUACAGCUGAGUCACCACAGAGGCACCAGAGUUUACCCCGACCAAUGAAGAAUGUUCAGAGAUCCCUGUCAGAUCCCAAGCCCCUCAGUCCCACAACUGAUGAACAAACAAAGGCAAGGAUAUCCCUUUACCAGCAACAGGCACUUCAAAGUCAGUUGAUGGCACUCCAGCAGAGCUCCCUCCUGAGAAAGGUUAAGCGAACUUUGCCAAGCCCCCCACCUGAGGAGACUCAGCUAUCAAUGGUCACCCAUGCCCUGCCCCAGAUGUAUGUGCCCUCUCUGCCCUCUCUGAAGAUGGGUUCUCGUCCAGGACUAGCAGCCAAGGCCAGCCUUCUGAAGGACCUGACUCAUGAACUAAAGGCUGUUGAGCAAGAAUCCACCAAACUAAGAAAACAACAGGCUGAGUUGGAGGAAGAAGAGAAAGAAAUUGAUGCCAAACUCCGAUACCUAGAGAUGGGCAUUACACAAAGGAAGGAGACUCUUGUGAAAGAAAGGGAAAGAAGAGACAUAGCAUACCUGCGUUGUAUGGGUGACACACGAGACUACAUGUCAGAUUCUGAACUAAACAACCUUCGGUUGGCAGCUGCAGCCACAUCUGAGAGUAAUGGGCUUCUGACCAGACCAAGCACAGCACCACACAGCCAAUUUGCCAGUGAGCUAAACAGUGCUGCACAGUUUCCCCCCGCAUCAUCCUUUGUGUCAUAUCAGUACCCUCAAAGCCAAUCAACAGCAUCCAAUCUACAUGCUUCUACAUUCCAAAGCACUGGAUUCAGCCAGCCUCCAUAUCCUACAGUCUCUCAGGCACAGGCUCUACCCCAGCCCACACCCCUACAGACCAUGCCUCAUCAUCCUACCCUACCUUUUCAUGCUCAAGGGACUUUCCCCUCCCAGAGCUUUCCACUUAGCCAACCACCUUAUCCAACAGAUCAUACAAUGCUACCUCAAACUGGAUUCCAGCCACCUUCUCAACCACCUGUGGGUCAAACUCCUUACCCAACCCACACCACACCAUACCCGAGCCAGGCCCCACCUUACCCGGUCAGUCAGGCAAGUACAUACCAGCCACUGGCAGAUAUAUUAACUGUCCAUCAGAGGCCACAGCAAACCUCACUGGCUGACCUUGAACACAAGAUACCCACUAAUUAUGAGGUAAUAAGCAAUCCUUCUGUUGUAGUAACAACCACUGCCCAAGAUUCAACAUAUAGCCAAUCUGGUUUGGUUCCAACUUACGGUCAUUACAGCACAGCCGUGGCAAGUACCUAUGGGCCAUACUCCACCGCAGGUUCAAGUACAUAUGGUGGAUACUCAACUACCACAAAUUCAUAUGGGCCAUAUACAACCACCUCCGCAAAUAGUUAUGGUCAGUACACUACAACCACACCCAAUACCUAUGGACACACAACAACCACAGGCAGUUCCUAUGGACAGUAUACCACCAGUGUUGCCAACACAUAUGGACAGACUGUGCAAACACUUUCUGAUCAUAUGCACUCAGUGGACAGUCCAUCUACUUAUACAGGUGAUGGCCAAUACAGUUCUUCCAGCCUGGAGCAGAAUGCCCCUCGCAAUUAUGUAAUGAUUGAUGAUAUUAAUGAGCUAACCAAAGAGGGCAUGGGCACCACUUCAGACCCACACCGCAGUGAGGGCUAUGGGCGUCAUGGGGGUGAUGGACUCCACACACGAGGGGGGAGCUCCUACAACAGACCAGAGGACGAGCGUGAUGCAGAGAUGUACGACCAUCACCAUGGCAGGGGUAAGAGCACUGGCAGCUACCAAGCGCGAGGGCGAGAUACGCAUGGCCGGGUAGUGGGCAGCAGUAGCAUGGGUGGGGGAUCCACAUAUUACUAUGAUGACUACAAGCAUGCAACAACCACAAGAGCAGCCCAGAGGCACUCCUCAAAGACCCUGGCUCCAGUUGUCAUGUCUACCAAGAGAAGCAAGCAUCGUAAGCAAGGCUUAGAGCAGAAGAUCUCCAAGUUCUCUCCAAUUGAGGAAGCUCAUGAUGUGGAGGCUGAUCUGGCCUUAUACACCAUGAGCACCUCUGCUACAAGUGGCUAUGGUACAGGUUCUCAUUCACGAAAACUCCAAGAUGAAAUCUAUGGGCUGCGACAAACCACGUAUGACCCACAUCGGGGCAACUAUGAUGAUGAACAUUUCUAUGGCUAUGGCAGGUCCCGCUCAGCUGGUUAUGGCAUGGAUAAGAUUUCUCGGGAGACAGGCUACCGAAGCAGAUCCUAUGAACGGGACUACAAAGAUCGGUCAUACACAAGCAACUAUGGCCGAAGUGGUCGUCCCGCAUUGCGCUCUCAGUACUCUGAAGAGGAGAGCCCACUAAGUCCUAUGGGGAAAUUCAUGGGCAGUAGGCAGGCCUGCUACGAUCCAUCUUACUCAUGUGGCUCAAGCCACUCUCUUCCUGAUGUUCAAGACCAUAUUCGAGACAUGCCACGGACCCAUGUCUACAAACCCGAUGAUAUGUACAUUAUAGACGAUAUGUAUUGCGCUGUGUCUGAUAGUGAAGCCUACCAUCUUGGCCAGGAGGAGACUGACUGGUUUGAGAAGCCGCGAGAUGUCCGUGGUUCCCGCCACUAUAGCAGCAGCCAUUCCUCUUCUGGGAGGCGUGGCCAUGUCAAACACACAUACCAUGAUUACGAUGAACCUCCAGAGGAAGACCUUUGGCCACAGGAUGAUUAUGGUCACUCCCGUCACACAUCUUCUCGAGAGCACCGACACCAUAGCAGUGGAAGUUCUGGUAGACACCCUUCCUCCCGCCACUCUGACGAGCCUCGUUCUACUAGAUCAUCUCGCUCUUCAAAAGACCCAUCCUCACGACAUGACUCCCGUUCUAUGUCUUCUUCUUCAGCAAAGAGAGGAGACUCUCGCUCUCAGGGCUACCACUCCUCUGAUUAUUCCCGUGACCCUUCUGGGCACCACCAUGGCUCACGAACUGGGAAACAGUCUUCCCACCUCCAAGGCACUUCCAGCAGGAAGCAACAAGACCUCCAAGGCCACGUAUCAUCUUCUAGACAAGUGAGUUCAACUGGUUCAGCACAAAGGACUGCAAGUGGAUCGUCAAACUCAAGCAGGCAGCCUGGGCCCCAGCAAAUUUCUGAGGCACAGCAGAGCCAGCGAACACAGUUACAACAACAGACACAGAUAUCAGCAACUAGGCCUGGACAGCAGACAGCUGCAGCAGGCCCUGUGCCAUCACAGCAAACACAAGUCCAGCAGCACCAAGCUAAACCUGGCCAGACAAGUCCCGCAACAAGGGCACCUGCUGCAGGAGUGCAACCAGCACCUGCUACAACCAAGCCAGAACCUGUCGCAGCUCCUGUUACUGCAAUUGGAGCAAAAGCAGCCACCCCACAACCUGCCAAAGCAGCCCAGCCCCCAAUCUUGGGGAUAGGCUCCAAGCCAGUUUCAAGACCUGGUGGAAUAGGUAGUGCUGCUGCCGCUACUCAGCCUGGUAUGGAAGGAGAAAGCGUGUUCUCAAAGAUCUUGCCUGGAGGUGCUGCAGAACAGGCUGGCAAACUUGGAGAAGCUAUUUCUGGGUUUGGAAAAAAGUUCACGUCUCUCUGGUGAGGCAGUGCAAUUUAAGUUUCAGGGUGUCUUCAAAAACGAUGGCUGAUGUUAUAAGGCUUUGCACUGGAAAAACCUAUGAAGUUUCUCUACGUUGUUUUAAUUUACAAGCGCUUGAGUAAGAAAGAAAGAGAGAAGGAGAGAGAGAGAGAGAGGGAGAGAAGUAAUCUUGUACUAUACUGCCAGCCAGAACAGGAAUCACAAGACUUCAUUAACCAUAAAUCUGGUUAAAUGAUCACAGAGGCACUACACAGCUUUCCUCUGGCAGCCUAGACAGGUGCUUAAAUGUUGGACUUGCAAAAGCAUCCCUGUUUUGGCAAGCAAAAACAGUCAGAUUCUCCAGCUGUCUCCGGAAGUCCAGAUAUUCUACUGCAACUAUUGGAACCAGUCAACUUCCAGAGGACCCUGUAAUGAGCAGCAUAAAGCAAAGAGAAAAAUUUAACAUUAAAUGGGUAUCUGAAAAUUGGUUAGCUUCAUAAUAAGUAAGACAUUCACAUGCUGAUAAUGCAAGUGUGCUUUGCAUAGAUACUGGUUCUCACAAAGACUUUACAGGAGAGAAGUUUAAACAGACCUUAAAAUAUCCAACUGGUCACAGUGCACUGGUUUGUGAUUCCAUGUUCCUGUAGCUACUUAGAUGAUAAAUUUGACUCUCCUCUCAUCUCAGGGAUGGUAGAAAUUGAAAUUAAACUAAAUGAAAGAACUUCAUAGGUUUUUCCUGUCCAGUUAAUUACUUUUAUUUUAUUCUAACUUGAUAGCCUUUCAGAACACAAAAACAAAACAAAACAAAACAAAAAAGAAAAGAAAAGAAAAGAAAAGAAAAGAAAAGAAAAGAAAAGAAAAAAGAAAAGAAAAGAAAAGAAAGUGAUGGCAAAUGUCUAUGUUAUAUGGUCGGUUUUUAACUCUACAUUCCAGAAUGGAAAAAAGUCAUUUUUGUCCUCUGAAUGCAGACUGUUUUUUUCACUAUUCUCUUAAAUGUGUUUAAGAAGUGUACAGUGGAAUUCAAAUGCAUGUAACUUUAUAUUCAAGACCUUACACUGUUCACCAAUUUGAAGAGAGUAGGCAUAAGAUAUGAGAAUCUAGAAUAAGACUAAGAGUAAAAGAUUGCAUGGUUUAAGAGAAAACAAUUAUAUUACAUACACAAGACUGAAAUAUUGUAUGAGAGUGAUUUUGAGGCUUUGACAAGUCAGGUCUUGUUUGUAAGUAAACCACUGCAAAGCCAUUAAGUAACCACUCCCAGUGUGUACUUGGGGUCAAUUACAAUUGUUUCACCAUUUCGGGGACUCUAAUACUUCUGUUUAUUUAAUUGUGGAUCUAUUUUUUUUAUAUUAUUGGCAUCUAUUAUUUAUAUUAUUGCAUCUAUUGUUUUUAUAUUAUAUUAUUUUAAAUAUUAUUUAAAAUUUUCCUUUUUUCUGGAGAGAUGUCCCCUUAAACUACUGAUUUCAAUACAUUUCAAUACAUUUUCAAUACAUUCUUUUGCGUCAUAAUUUAAGAUAAGUAUAAUAAGUGUUUUUCACUGGUUUUUAUAUAAUAAUAAUAACAAGCCAACGUACAGGCUGGGAUGUUUAUUUAUAUUUUUGGAUUUAUUUUGUCAUGUUGUUUAUAAUUUAUUUUAUAUUACAUUUAUUCACAGUUUUUAUGGUUUUCAUUAGUCUGUAACUGGAUUACAGUUAUUUUUUGUUCAUUUUCUAUCAGUUAAGAUGUAGGGAAAAAAAAAGCAAUAGUGGAUGGCAGAUACUCAAGAGCACAAUCAGAUGUUUAUACACUAGUGGUCAGAAGAGCAAUGUGUCUACUAAAUCUACUAAACUGAAAUGUUUCCAGAAGUUUUAGAUCUACCGCCCCAGCCUUAUAUAGGCAAAACCCACAAAUUCUUCAGAAUCAGAUAUACUGUAAGCAAUAGUUUGAAUAAUAACAAAUUAGCCAUAAUUAAACUUCUUUUUAGUUUUAAGCAAUUUUAGGAUAAUGAGAAUUCCUAUGAAAUACAUGAAAAUGUGCUUAGGGACUGAUCGUCAAAAAAACACGUACUAACUGAUAUGCAUUUGGGGUCUAUUCCAAAUUGCAGCAAAAACAGGGGUACAGAAUUCUAAACAGAAGCUUCUCAGGUCAGAUCUUCCAGUAGAUCCUGUACUUGUGAUGGGUCAGGCUAGUAAGUCCUUUUAGUGGUAUGACUAAAAAUGUAGCCACCUAAGCUAGAAUGAGAGCAUGCUUCAAAACAAAACAAACAAAAAAAAAGACUCAUCUUGAUGUAAAUGUACAUUAGUAUGAAUGAAUGAUUGUGGUUGCAUGUAUGUACAUGUCUGGAUUUGUGGUCACUUGAAAAAAUGAAAAAUGGAUUUAAAAAAUAGAACAAUAAGCAUAGGUGAUUUUGAGAGACAACUUUACAUUACAAAUGUUCUAUGCAAUGCUUCUUAUUGGGGAAAAGAGACAUCAUUCAAUACCAGUCAUGGCAGAAAAAUAACAGAUAGCUUCUCCAACAAAAAUAAUGAUAACAAUUUGGAGUUGACCUGUUGUAAAUAAGUACUUAUAAUGUAAAGAGUUUGUUUUCUCUUUGUGGCAUGUUUAAGUCCCCGUUCAUGUAACUUUUCAAGUGGCAGCCAUAGUGUGAGCCAUAACUAGUCAUGGGCUAUGUAAAAAACUGCAUACUUCUGUAUGAAUAGUAUGGGGGAAAUGUCAGCCCUCUAUCUUGACAUAUGACAGUACGCUGUUUUGUGUGUAUCCAGAAUUUAAAUCACAACCUUAUCUGGCAGUCCUGCACUUACUUUCAUUAGCCAUUAGCUGCCUGUUGAUGCACUUGUUAUUAAACAGAGAUUGUAAUAAAAAAUGUUUAUAUAAAUGUCAAAAGUUCUAAAGAAGAGAACUAUAUAACAACACCAUUUCCGUAAUAUUAUUAAUUUCUAAAAUGAAUAUGGGGUAAUGUUUAAUUUACAACAGGCUAUGGGAACAUUUGUGCAAUACUGAAUCUGUCAUGGUUAUAUGAAAACAGAUGUACAUAUAAUUCAGUGUAAUUCAGCCUAUUUAGUGCUAUUGUUGCCCCUUUGAUUUAUUGCCCUAUCAAAACAAAAUGAUUGAUGAAUACUGCAUUAAAUUAUUGGUCGUCAUUGCAGCGUUUUUGUUUUGCUCAGAAAUACCAAUUUAUUUGGUAAUUUAAUGGUGGAAACUGUAGGUAGGCUAGAACAUUACACUAUUCUUUAAUCAGUGUAGUUCAUAAUAAACAUUUAUUACUUCAAUUUGUUUUUCAGAAAAAAAUAUAAAUUAUUUUAGUACCAAAACAUAUUUAAAGUUUAUUAAAAUAUCUAAAUAGAAUCUACAUAUAACAUGUAAUCAUAAGAAAUAGGCAAUAAGUGUAUAAAUGUCUGAGUAAUUGCCACUGACUACUUCAUAUAUAUUGCCUGUAGGGCAACUGGGUUGAAUCUCCCACAAUUAAAACAUAUUAAGAAAUACAAAAAUAAAUAAAUAAAUAUUUAUAUAUUUCUAAACUUUUUAUUAGACAUCAUGACAAAGAUGAUGUGAAUACAUUGUGAAAAUUUAUUUUAUUUAUUUAUUUCGUGUUCUAAUCUUGUUCACCUCAGGAAAGCACACAGUAAAUGUGGUAAGGUGAAAAAAGGGGGACCUAAUAUGCAUCAUUGUAAGGGCUCAUUUCCAAUACUAAGAAAGCCAUCUUGUUUUUUGCUCUGAGCCUACAAGGCUACUAGGACUGGGAAUGUGAAACAGGGAAAACCAUAUCACACUUUCUCUAAAUAUUUUUCACAUGCAUACAAAGAUCUUUAUUUCCAUUACUGUGUUUUGUCACCCUGGACAUUUAAACCUUAUCUUGUAUGUAAUUUAUUUAAUUAAAACCCCCAGCAUUUAUUCUAGCAUUAGGUCAAACAUGAGAUUUUAAGAACUGACAAAGGGUGUAUAAACACUUAUUGCAGUGAGGGAUGAGAUGAAAAGCUGCAAACAAUCCUGUCAUUCAGAUAUCAGGGAAAAUUUAAUGUUAUUUAUUUAUUUAUUUUUUAGAAAUACUGAAGUAACAAGUGCAUACAUCUUCAGGAGCAGUCCACCAACUUUCAUCCCUUCUGAUUCACUGGCAGCCAUUUUCAUUAUAAAUACCACACCUAUAUAAAAAUCAACUCUUGCACGCACACGCAAACAUCCAUUAUGUGAAACAAGCAAAUGACGUGUAUUGAAAGACCAAAAAGUGUGGUUUUGCCUAUAAUGCCUAUUUUUUUUAAAGGUCAAAGCAUCAGCUAUUACCAACAAAACAUCAAAACAGCAUUGUAUAUGGUGGCACUGUUUGGGACUGUUUGGAGGGGGAAAAAAUUAUAUUCGGAAACAUUUACUGGUCUGUGUAAAGUUUCUAUACAUGUUGUGUUUGUAUAUUUAAAAAAAAAAAAUAAAUAAUAAAAAAAGGAGACCCUAGCUUCCAUCUAAUUUGUGGGUUUCAACAGGGGCAACUUGAAAAAUUUAAGAAAAACAUAAAAUAUUAAAUUGUAACCAUAAUAAUAGUUGAGAGUGUUUGAGGGAUCAAAAUAAAUAAAUUAUAUAUAUAUAUAUAUAUAUAUAUAUAUAUAUAUAUAUAUAUAUAUAUAUAUAUAUAUAUAUAUAUAUAUAUAGUACAUUCACUGUUGUAAGUGCAAUGAGCUAUUAUCCAUGUUUCCAUAGUAAACCUUGUGUAUGUUUCAGUGUAAAAUUGUAAACAGUUGUAGUUGGCUUGGUGCAUUAUGUCAUGCUAUGUGAUGAAUGAAAUAAUGACCCUACAAUACAUUUCAAUCAGGAAAAAAGAAUAAACAAGAAUUUGAACCACAA
This is an RNA transcript of Silurus meridionalis, 17310 nucleotides long. It is a transcript of the gene named bassoon presynaptic cytomatrix protein a, with no coding region annotated. The record is from RefSeq and is a predicted model, not a curated record. The transcript has 13 exons. NCBI's taxonomy places the organism in Eukaryota, Metazoa, Chordata, Actinopteri, Siluriformes, Siluridae.